Molecule: ribosomal RNA, 236 nt
Filed under: uncultured Spirotrichea
Lineage: Eukaryota; Ciliophora; Spirotrichea
Description: partial small subunit ribosomal RNA
Rfam family: Eukaryotic small subunit ribosomal RNA
Source: RNAcentral
CCUCGGACUAUUGUGGUGAAUCAUAGUAACUGAUCGGAUCGCGGGCUCGCCCCGCGACAGACCAUUCAAGUUUCUGCCCCAUCAGCUUUCGAUGGUAGUGUAUUGGACUACCAUGGCUUUCACGGGUAACGGAGGAUUAGGGUUCGAUUCCGGAGAGGGAGCCUGAGAAACGGCUACCACAUCUAAGGAUGGCAGCAGGCGCGUAAAUUACCCAAUCCUGAUUCAGGGAGGUAGUG